This 497-nucleotide ribosomal RNA is filed under the name uncultured bacterium. RNAcentral's name for it is "partial 16S ribosomal RNA". It matches the Rfam family "Bacterial small subunit ribosomal RNA", at positions 28 to 507 of the family's 1533-position model. The record is from RNAcentral.
GACGAACGCUGGCGGCGUGCCUAAUACAUGCAAGUUGAGCGCUGAAGGUUGGUACUUGUACCGACUGGAUGAGCAGCGAACGGGUGAGUAACGCGUGGGGAAUCUGCCUUUGAGCGGGGGACAACAUUUGGAAACGAAUGCUAAUACCGCAUAAAAACUUUAAACACAAGUUUUAAGUUUGAAAGAUGCAAUUGCAUCACUCAAAGAUGAUCCCGCGUUGUAUUAGCUAGUUGGUGAGGUAAAGGCUCACCAAGGCGAUGAUACAUAGCCGACCUGAGAGGGUGAUCGGCCACAUUGGGACUGAGACACGGCCCAAACUCCUACGGGAGGCAGCAGUAGGGAAUCUUCGGCAAUGGAUGAAAGUCUGACCGAGCAACGCCGCGUGAGUGAAGAAGGUUUUCGGAUCGUAAAACUCUGUUGGUAGAGAAGAACGUUGGUGAGAGUGGAAAGCUCAUCAAGUGACGGUAACUACCCAGAAAGGGACGGCUAACUACGUG